This 69-nucleotide ribozyme is filed under the name Rodentolepis nana. RNAcentral describes it as "Hymenolepis nana HDV ribozyme from F. prausnitzii". It matches the Rfam family "HDV ribozyme from F. prausnitzii". Lineage: Eukaryota; Metazoa; Platyhelminthes; Cestoda; Cyclophyllidea; Hymenolepididae. The record is from Rfam by way of RNAcentral.
GGUGUGCAAUAGACUUACCUCCACGUGGUGCACACUGGGCAACGUAUAUCAUACGGUAAAAAAGUCUAU